Long non-coding RNA from Daphnia magna, 921 nucleotides. RefSeq lists it as uncharacterized. Lineage: Eukaryota; Metazoa; Arthropoda; Branchiopoda; Diplostraca; Daphniidae. The record is from RefSeq and is a predicted model, not a curated record. The transcript has 2 exons.
ACUGAUAGCCAGGUGAAGGUUGGCAGGAAUUGCACAUGAAAGUAGCCAGCACUUUCUGAUCGUCUAUCAUCGCCAAUUGGGGAACGUGGUAAAGUAUAUAGUGAUUAGUAAUGUGUUAGUUUCAGAGAUUCGUUUAAGAAAUAACAUUUUGUAUCACCAAAACACGGACUGUACGUACUUUAAUUCUUUAUUGUCCAUUCGUAAAUACGCGUAUGUGUUGGCUAUGUUUUUAUAAAUCUGGAAGAUGCAAGGUGGUAUCACAGUUAGGCACAAUGGUCAGAAACAAGAUAAAGUUCACAAAUGACCCAAUUAUAAAAUCGGUUUUUUACAGUUGUGUUUUAUUAUUUAAGAAAAAGAUUUAUUUUUUAUUUUUUAUAUAUAAUAUAUGAAAGCAACCUUUUAUAGCCACUAGUUGUUUUGAGGGUUGUAAUUGUAAAUAAACCGUUCAUUGGUUUAUUCAAAAGGUAAAUAUUGGCAACUCUGCAUCCUAAGUUCAGAUUUCUAGCGUCUGUAAUGAGAAGCCACAAUUGUGGUUGUGCUAGAUUUUAGGUAAGCCUUAGAUUAAUACGAGUCCUUGCAUAGAAGUGAUUCUAUAAAAUUGUGCGAUAAUAAAAUGUGGAACGUUUGUGAAAAACCAAUGAGAUCGUCUUAAAUGAUGAGCUGAUUGCAGUGUAUGCACGUUAAACAACGAAAUAGCAAUGGCGCCUUGGCUGUUUCACACCAUUGUUCAGAUUAAAAGGAGGGAAAACGAAUAGGAUACAGAACACAUAGCCUCUCGGUUCAUAUGAGGUGGCGGUAGAGUCCGUAGCAGGUGGUUUUACGUUAGCAGGGUUCACUUUUGAAGGAAUUGUUUUGUCCGUCAAAAUUUGUAAAUUAUUGUAUUGUGUGGAGAAUUGUCAAUAAAAAUGUUUCUUAAACAAA